This is a non-coding RNA of Pelobates cultripes (western spadefoot toad), 243 nucleotides long. Lineage: Eukaryota; Metazoa; Chordata; Amphibia; Anura; Pelobatidae. The record is from the annotation of a GenBank genome assembly.
CCCGCGCCGUGCUCAGACCGCUGGUGGGCAGGAUAGCAGGGUUGCGGCCGUCCACUCCACUCACUGCCCGAGCGCUCUCCAUCUUGAGAGACGGAGGGCUCUCCUCGGUACCAGGGUGGCUUCUUACACAGGGCUGCCGUUGUCAGUCGUUUGGUAGGGAUAUGAUCUCUGUUUUUUGUUUUGUGAAAACUGGGAAAAAUUGCAGGAGCCUUUGUUUUGCGCGGCUUGCCAGCAUGGCGGCCC